RNAcentral lists this ribosomal RNA (465 nucleotides) under uncultured bacterium. RNAcentral describes it as "partial 16S ribosomal RNA". It matches the Rfam family "Bacterial small subunit ribosomal RNA", at positions 28 to 507 of the family's 1533-position model. The record is from RNAcentral.
GACGAACGCUGGCGGCGUGCUUAACACAUGCAAGUCGAGCGGAAAGGCCCCUUCGGGGGUACUCGAGUGGCGAACAGGUGAGUAACACGUGGGUAACCUGCCCUUGGCUUCGGGAUAACUUCAGGAAACUGGGGCUAAUACCGGAUAGGAAUCCUUGCUGCAUGGGGGGGGGUGGAAAGCUUCGGCGGUUUUGGAUGGACUCGCGGCCUAUCAGCUUGUUGGUGGGGUGGUGGCUUACCAAGGCGUCGACGGGUAGCCGGCCUGAGAGGGCGACCGGCCAGGCUGGGACUGGGAUGCGGCACAGACUCCAAUGGGAGGCAGCGGUGGAGAGUGUUGCACUACGGGAGGGAGGGUGAUGUGGCGAAGCGGCGUGGCGGAUGAGGUGCCUGGGGUUGUGAUCCGCUUCUAGCAGGGGCGCGGCGUGUGUUGACGGUAGCGGCAGAAGAAGCACCGGCUAACUACGUG